GUUUGCUUUAAGGAAGAAGGGGAUAUAGCUUUGCUUGCCUGCAUGGAUUCCUGGUGGGUUCUUCUAGUCCACAAAAUUGAAGGCCGAGUGGGUGGGAGGCAUUUUUGUACUGCUGCUUCCUUUUUCUCUGUUGAUCAAAUCCAGUGUUCUGCUCCUCCUUCUCUUGUUGUAGCUCUCACGAGGAACGCAGCUUCACUUGGUUGUCGGACGUUCUCUGCAUAGGUGACCUGAAAGGGUAAGCAAACAUAGGAAGAUGAUCUGACGUGCUAUAUACUCUUAUGGUAUCUUAGGGUUUCCAGCAGCUGAUGCUUCUUCGGACUCGACUUUGAUGUUACCAGCAUUCUUUUUAGUGACAAAGGAAGCUGCCAAAUUGUCGAGCUGAGAUAAGGUUUGGAUGAUGCAUGCUAGAAUUCCGUAGGAACUGAUCUGCUUCAAAGACCAUCGAAUGCUUUAGUUGUAUGCUUGUGUCUAGCUUUGCCUUGAUCCAUACCAUGCACAUCAGUAGAUGCAGAACAGUACAUAGAGCAUCAUCCACAGCUAGCCUUGAAGUCAUGCUAUCUAUAUAAACUGGACUAUUCACUGGAUGAACAAAAGCUUCACGGUACGUACCUGACAACAUGGUUAGUAUUGCUAAUUCGUCCUUUUACCGUCACAAAUUUAUCUGUUUUAUGUUCUAAAUUAUGAUGAUGAUAGUUGUUCUGUAAGUGUUGGCGUUAUGGUCUGUAACACUCUUUAUCUGCAACAAAGCUGUGUUGCUCUUAUCGUCAUCGAUACGUACAUAAACUGGAAAAAGGCAAACCUUAAAACUAUUCUGACUAGAAUUCCUUUA
This is a long non-coding RNA of Musa acuminata AAA Group (dessert banana), 829 nucleotides long. RefSeq lists it as uncharacterized. The transcript is spliced from 3 exons. Lineage: Eukaryota; Viridiplantae; Streptophyta; Magnoliopsida; Zingiberales; Musaceae. The record is from RefSeq and is a predicted model, not a curated record.